This 431-nucleotide ribosomal RNA is filed under the name uncultured bacterium. RNAcentral describes it as "partial 16S ribosomal RNA". It matches the Rfam family "Bacterial small subunit ribosomal RNA", at positions 338 to 795 of the family's 1533-position model. The record is from RNAcentral.
CCUACGGGUGGCAGCAGUAAGGAAUAUUGGUCAAUGGGCGCAAGCCUGAACCAGCCAUGCCGCGUGCAGGAAGACGGCCUACGGGUUGUAAACUGCUUUUGCAGGGGAAUAUGUACUCUGAGAAUAAGGAUCGGCUAACUCCGUGCCAGCAGCCGCGGUAAUACGGAGGAUCCAAGCGUUAUCCGGAUUUAUUGGGUUUAAAGGGUGCGUAGGUGGCCUGUUAAGUCAGGGGUGAAAGACGGUAGCUUAACUAUCGCAGUGCCCUUGAUACUGACGGGCUUGAAUGAACUAGAGGUAGGCGGAAUGUGACAAGUAGCGGUGAAAUGCAUAGAUAUGUCACAGAACACCAAUGGCGAAGGCAGCUUACUAUGUUUAUUGACACUGAGGCACGAAAGCGUGGGGAUCAAACAGGAUUAGAUACCCUUGUAGUC